Carassius gibelio (silver crucian carp) is the source of this 1166-nucleotide long non-coding RNA. RefSeq lists it as uncharacterized. The record is from RefSeq and is a predicted model, not a curated record. Lineage: Eukaryota; Metazoa; Chordata; Actinopteri; Cypriniformes; Cyprinidae. The transcript is spliced from 4 exons.
GUCCGUUAGCAUCUCAAAGAAGUGCCAGAAAAAAACCUCUAUGACACAGGAGAAGUUCCUGAUUUUAACAUUUCUGAAGGGAGCUGCUGACAGAGAGGAUGAAAACAUACACAUUUUGAUGUCCACGCUUUAGGAGCAUUACUAAAUAAGUAAAACUAAAAUAUAUAUAUAUAUUUAUUGUAAAUGAUUAUAUAAAUUAUAUAUUCUGUGAAUUAUUAUUUUUCUUUUCUGCAUUUCACCUCUGCUAUAGUAUAUGCCUUAUACCUGGCAUUGUAUAAUAAAUAUUGUUGUCUCUGUGACUUAUGUUCCUAGGUUCUUCCAUGCUGAUGGCUGUGCUCUAGUCAUAUCUCCUGUCGAAGAACAUUUUUAGACAUUAUGAACCAUGAAUAAGUUUAGCUCCAACCCCAGUUAAGCAGACCUGAGCAGCUGAUCAAGAAUCAGCAGAAACUCUGCAGAACAUUGGUCCUUCAGCCCAGGACUGGACACCAGUGUUAGUGUCUGUCUUAGAAGCUGAAGAAAAAAGGUCACACCUUAUAGGAAAUAAACGCCUCCUAAGUGUAUGGAAAUACCUGGCUGAGGAGAUCAGUGACAUAAACCAGAUAAAACUGUCAGUGGUAAGUGUUUACAUAUCCAUAUCCGAAUGGAAUUGCUACAACCUCUUAUCUAAUAUGACUCGAAGUGAAUAGAGACUAUGUACCAUAAAAAGUAGAUAAUGUAAUUAUUCAAGCCUAUUUGUGAAACUGGACCACAAAACCAGUUACAAGGGUAAUUGUUUUUAUUUUAUUUUUUAGAUUUUUAUUUCAAUAAUAAUACUAAAUAAGUUUUCCAUUGAUGUAUGGUUUGUUAGGAGGAAAAUAUUUGUCUGAGAUACAACUAUUUGAAAAUCUGGAAUCUGAUGGUGCUAAAAAAUCUAAAUAUUGUGAAAAAUAUUUCAAAUCCAGAGCAAAGCAUUUUAUUAAUAAAAAAUUAAGUUGAUACAUUUAUGGUAGGGAAUUUACAAAAUAUAUUUAUGGAACAUUUUCUUUUUUUAAAUCCUAAUGAUUUUAGGCAUGAAAGAAAAAUCAAUAACUUUUUUGAGACUGCCAUAUAAAUAUAUGUAUGGAUAAUCUCACAUACUGGUAAUGUGGUACAUUGUCCUAAUGAAUUGUCCCUUUUUUUUUUCUUUU